RNAcentral lists this ribosomal RNA (676 nucleotides) under Triticum aestivum (bread wheat). RNAcentral's name for it is "partial small subunit ribosomal RNA". The record is from RNAcentral. Lineage: Eukaryota; Viridiplantae; Streptophyta; Magnoliopsida; Poales; Poaceae.
UAGCCCGGGUAGAUAGUAGUGGAACGAAGUAUGCACAAGAAGGACCUCUAGUUAGGGCUAGGUUUAGGAGCCACCUAAGCCGAGCUUAGAACGUGGAGAGCGUGAGGGUGGAGGUAUAUAUGAGGGGUGCAGUCCAAACAGGUUAAAAAGCGGUUUUGCCUCAAGAGGGCACGGGACCCCGCAGCAGGGCUAGAACGGCCUCUGGCGGUGGCGGACUUCGAAGACGACCCUAAGUGGCUUGGCUCGCGACGUUGAAGCUGGUCCUCGUCUAGCGGCGGCGGCUCGAGAAAGACCCGCCACGGUAGCGAUCUUCUGGGUUGACUUCUUUGGUGCAGUGGGUGCAGUAUAAGCCCUGGAGGCUCGAGGAGGCGUAGAGGUUCAUGGAAGGGACUCAGGUCGUUCGGGGAAUCGGCAGCGACAGCGGCUUAGGGCUCGGCGGGGCGUGACAAGAAGAAGUUCAGGCCGCUGCGUGGGACGGUACAAAAGGCCUAAAAGUCUACUAGUCACUCUAUGUCAUCCCAGCGCUCAGAAGUGAGUUGUACAAGAGAUCACCCGUAACUACCGGAGUAGCAAAUAAUACGGUGGAAAGGCGACAAUAAUAACUUAUUCAAUCGGUACACGAUAAGUCAAACAUUAUGAAAUAUUUAAGACCUAGUAUGCAACAUCAUUUACUACG